AUAUUUGGCUUAACCGGAUUGGUC
RNAcentral lists this non-coding RNA (24 nucleotides) under Arabidopsis thaliana (thale cress). The record is from RNAcentral. Lineage: Eukaryota; Viridiplantae; Streptophyta; Magnoliopsida; Brassicales; Brassicaceae.